GACGAACGCUGGCGGCGUGCUUAACACAUGCAAGUCGAACGGAAAGGCCCUGCUUGCAGGGUACUCGAGUGGCGAACGGGUGAGUAACACGUGGGUGAUCUGCCCUGCACUUCGGGAUAAGCCUGGGAAACUGGGUCUAAUACCGGAUAGGAGCCAUUUUUAGUGUGAGGGUUGGAAAGUUUUUUCGGUGUAGGAUGAGCUCGCGGCCUAUCAGCUUGUUGGUGGGGUAAUGGCCUACCAAGGCGGCGACGGGUAGCCGGCCUGAGAGGGUGGACGGCCACAUUGGGACUGGGGUACGGCCCAGACUCCUACGGGAGGCAGCAGGGGGGAAUAUUGCACAAUGGGCGCAAGCCUGAUGCAGCGACGCCGCGUGGGGGAUGACGGCCUUCGGGUUGUAAACUCCUUUCGCUAGGGACGAAGCUUUUUGUGACGGUACCUAGAGAAGAAGCACCGGCUAACUACGUG
RNAcentral lists this ribosomal RNA (465 nucleotides) under uncultured bacterium. Its description in RNAcentral is "partial 16S ribosomal RNA". It matches the Rfam family "Bacterial small subunit ribosomal RNA", at positions 28 to 507 of the family's 1533-position model. The record is from RNAcentral.